Long non-coding RNA from Onychostoma macrolepis, 471 nucleotides. RefSeq lists it as uncharacterized. The record is from RefSeq and is a predicted model, not a curated record. The transcript has 4 exons. Lineage: Eukaryota; Metazoa; Chordata; Actinopteri; Cypriniformes; Cyprinidae.
AUAACCUUGUUUCUUGUUUCGCAGGAGAUUGUGGAAUGGAGACUGGAGAUAGCACACACCCCUGAUUAGGAGCAGUGACAAGAUCCACAACGAUAAGGCACCUGGAACAGACGUUGGAGCGAGGAGCAGAGAAACAAGAAUACACAAGGAGAAAUGAAUCCAUCAAGAAAUGAAGCCGAACUGAAUCAUUCAAUUCUCAAGGAAACACUCAAGCCCAAUGAUGAAAAAAGAAGCAGCAGCACUUCACUAGCAUGGAUAUAGUUCAAGAUUAAAGAGCUGCCAGGUAAUGUGCAGAGGCUGGAGAGUCUUCUGCAGUCAGGACUGCCUGUGCUAAGCCCUCUUCCAGCCAAGUCAACUCCUGAUGCUUGUCUGCAUCAAUAGAGACAUGGGCCUGAAAACAUUCAUCGACUAGGGUUCAGUCAUCAAAAGGCACUCGAGUUAAGUCGUCCAUCCCAAGAGAGACUUAGGAGA